UACGGGGGGGGCAAGCGUUGUUCGGAAUUACUGGGCGUAAAGGGCCCGUCGGCGGCCAACUAAGUCGGACGUGAAAUCCCUCGGCUUAACCGGGGAACUGCGUCCGAUACUGGAUGGCUUGAGUUUGGGAGAGGGAUGCGGAAUUCCAGGUGUAGCGGUGAAAUGCGUAGAUAUCUGGAGGAACACCGGUGGCGAAGGCGGCAUCCUGGACCAACACUGACGCUGAUGAGCGAAAGCCAGGGGAGCAAACGGG
RNAcentral lists this ribosomal RNA (253 nucleotides) under uncultured bacterium. RNAcentral's name for it is "partial 16S ribosomal RNA". It matches the Rfam family "Bacterial small subunit ribosomal RNA", at positions 524 to 776 of the family's 1533-position model. The record is from RNAcentral.